Molecule: ribosomal RNA, 481 nt
Filed under: uncultured bacterium
Lineage: Bacteria
Description: partial 16S ribosomal RNA
Rfam family: Bacterial small subunit ribosomal RNA
Source: RNAcentral
UUGAACGCUGGCGGCAUGCCUUACACCUGCAAGUCGAACGGUAACAGGUCUUCGGAUGCUGACAAGUGGCGAACGGGUGAGUAAUACAUCGGAACGUGCCCGAUCGUGGGGGAUAACGAGGCGAAAGCUUUGCUAAUACCGCAUACGAUCUACGGAUGAAAGCGGGGGAUCUUCGGACCUCGCGCGGACGGAGCGGCCGAUGGCAGAUUAGGUAGUUGGUGGGGUAAAAGCUUACCAAGCCGACGAUCUGUAGCUGGUCUGAGAGGAUGAUCAGCCACACUGGGACUGAGACACGGCCCAGACUCCUACGGGAGGCAGCAGUGGGGAAUUUUGGACAAUGGGCGAAAGCCUGAUCCAGCCAUGCCGCGUGCAGGAUGAAGGCCUUCGGGUUGUAAACUGCUUUUGUACGGAACGAAAAGCCUCUUUCUAAUAAAGAGGGGUCAUGACGGUACCGUAAGAAUAAGCACCGGCUAACUACGUG